AGCUUCAAAGUAUAUUCGAGGAUGUGGUGAAGACAGAGGUCAUCGAGGAGGCGUUUGCAGGGAUGUUCAUGGACACGCCGGAAGAUGAGCGGACCAAACUGAUCAGCUGUUUAGGAGCUUUCCGGCAGUACUGGGGCUCGCUCCCUCAGGUCAGGAAGUGUGGACAGUGUGAGGAAGUCCAUCAGCCGAGACGUCUUCAGUGUCCGAUGUUUAUUCCUCCCCAGCGCUCCACUUUAAACUCUUUCCUCCGUUCAUCUGGUCCACAUACGUUUGUUCUGAUUCCUUCUGCAUACUGUGUUAAUAUGAUAUACAUGAGUUCAGAGAAUAACUCAACUGAUUCACUGAACAUGGAAGGAGCGAAUCAUUUACAUUAAACAAACUGAUUCUUUCUGACUCAGUUUGAUGCUUUUGACACAUACAGAUUUAUUCUAACUCAUAAUGACCAGUCUGACUCAUUCUGAUUUCUACUGAUAUCUAACGAUUUAGAAAUUAAACUGUGCUGGACACGGACACACACACACACUCACAAUAACUGAGAACUGUGUUCCCAAUGAGAACUGAACUGUGCUGGACAUGGACACACACAACACACACACACCCACAAAAACUGAGAACUGUGUUCCCAACAAUAACUGAACUGUGCUGGACACGGACACACAACUGAGAACUGCUUUCAACAGAGAACUAUACUGUGCUGGCCACACACACUAAAAUUGUCCUGUUUGCACGCAUAUGUCACUUUACAUUACACUUUACACUUUAUAUUGAUCCUGUUUACAUGUUAACUUUAAUAUUUGCACUCACUGUCUACACUGUUCUUUUGAACAGAGUCUGUCUACAUGUUGUUUGUCUGCACUGUCUUGUCUCAUCAUCCUGUGCACUUCUGUUGUAUGUCUAGUUCAGGGGUCGGCAACCUCAAACACUCAAAGAGUCAUUUGGACCCAUUUCCCACAGAAAAGAAAACACCGGGAGCCACAAAAUCCUUAUCUAAAAUAGUACUGGCCCUGACUGACUCACCUGAGUUAAAUGAUCCGAUUCUGCAUAUUAACUCAUGAUUCAUGAGCCCGAGGUCUAAAUUAACCCGAUUCUUAUUUAUCCUAUGGCUACCGUGCUCUUUUUAUUAAUUAUUAUUAUUAUUAUUAUUAUUAUUAUUAUUAUUAUUAUUAUUAUUAUUAUUAUUAAACAAUGCAGAACAUUGUAUAUUAUAUUAAUAUUAAUGCAGUUAUUAAACAUAGCAGAGAAAAAAAAGUAGAAAGAAAGCUGCCAGGGUAACGAGAGAGAGAGAAAAACAACUGUAUAAGAAAUUGAUGUAAGAAGAAGAUGGCUGCUAUUGUGUUCAUCGACUGAUUCAGCUGAUUCUCAGUGGACUCACAGAGUUGGGUUAUAGACUGAUUCAGCUGAUUCUCAGUGGACUCAUGGAGUCGGGUUAUAGACUGAUUCAGCUGAUUCUCAGUGGAUUCACGGAGUCGGGUUAUAGACUGAUUCAGCUGAUUCUCAGUGGAUUCACGGAGUCGGGUUAUAGACUGAUUCAGCUGAUUCUCAGUGGAUUCACGGAGUCGGGUUAUAGACUGAUUCAGCUGAUUCUCAGUGGAUUCACGGAGUCGGGUUAUAGACUGAUUCAGCUGAUUCUCAGUGGAUUCACGGAGUCGGGUUAUAGACUGAUUCAGCUGAUUCUCACUGGACUCGAGGAGUCGGGUUAUAGACUGAUUCAGCUGAUUCUCAGUGGACUCACGGAGUCGGGUUGUAGACUGAUUCAGCUGAUUCUCAGUGGACUCGAGGAGUCAGGUUAUAGACUGAUUCAGCUGAUUCUCAGUGGACUCACGGAGUCGGGUUAUAGACUGAUUCAGCUGAUUCUCAGUGGACUCCGAAGAGUCAGGUUAUAGACUGAUUCAGCUGAUUCUCAGUGGAUUCACGGAGUCGGGUUAUAGACUGAUUCAGCUGAUUCUCACUGGACUCGAGGAGUCGGGUUAUAGACUGAUUCAGCUGAUUCUCAGUGGACUCACGGAGUCGGGUUGUAGACUGAUUCAGCUGAUUCUCAGUGGACUCGAGGAGUCAGGUUAUAGACUGAUUCAGCUGAUUCUCAGUGGACUCACGGAGUCGGGUUAUAGACUGAUUCAGCUGAUUCUCAGUGGACUCCGAAGAGUCAGGUUAUAGACUGAUUCAGCUGAUUCUCAGUGGACUCGAGGAGUCGGGAUAUAGACUGAUUCAGAUGAUUCUCAGUGGACUCGUGGAGUCGGGUUAUAGACUGAUUCAGCUGAUUCUCAGUGGACUCACGGAGUCGGGUUAUAGACUGAUUCAGCUGAUUCUCAGUGGACUUGAGGAGUCGGGUUAUAGACUGAUUCAGAUGAUUCUCAGUGGACUCAUGGAGUCGAGUUAUAGACUGAUUCAGAUGAUUCUCAGUGGACUCAAGGAGUCGGGUUGUAGACUGAUUCAGCUGAUUCUCAGUGGACUCGAGGAGUCAGGUUAUAGACUGAUUCAGCUGAUUCUCAGUGGACUCACGGAGUCGGGUUAUAGACUGAUUCAGCUGAUUCUCAGUGGACUCCGAAGAGUCAGGUUAUAGACUGAUUCAGCUGAUUCUCAGUGGACUCGAGGAGUCGGGAUAUAGACUGAUUCAGAUGAUUCUCAGUGGACUCGUGGAGUCGGGUUAUAGACUGAUUCAGCUGAUUCUCAGUGGACUCGAAGAGUCAGGUUAUAGACUGAUUCAGCUGAUUCUCAGUGGACUCAUGGAGUUGAGUUAUAGACUGAUUCAGCUGAAUCUCAGUGGACUCACGGAGUCGGGUUAUAGACUGAUUCAGCUGAUUCUCAGUGGACUUGAGGAGUCGGGUUAUAGACUGAUUCAGAUGAUUCUCAGUGGACUCAUGGAGUCGAGUUAUAGACUGAUUCAGAUGAUUCUCAGUGGACUCAAGGAGUCGGGUUAUAGACUGAUUCAGCUGAUUCUCAGCGGACUUGAGGAGUCGGGUUAUAGACUGAUUCAGAUGAUUCUCAGUGGACUCAUGGAGUCGAGUUAUAGACUGGUUCAGCUGAUUCUCAGUGGACUCGCGGAGUCGGGUUAUAGACUGAUUCAGCUGAAACUCUUACAUUUAGUCUCAGCAACUCCAAAGUACGUGAGCUGAUAUUCUUAAAUGCCAAUUUAUAUAACUUAUAGCAAAGUACUUUAUGUAUAUAGUUAUACUUUGGGCACAUUUUUUAUUUUUGUUCAGUUUGGUUGAUUUAUUCCUUAUUUAAGAUAUUUAUUUUUAUUCCAUUUGGACACUUUAACAUUUAACAUAUUUAAUUUUUGGUUAAUAUUACUGAUUUGCACAUUUUUCAUUUCUAUAUUUGUGUUAAAGUUUGUGUAUGUGUGUGUGUGUGUGUGUGUGUGCGUGUGAGCGUGUGCGUGUGAGCGUGUGCAUGUGUGUGUGUGUGUGUGUGCGUGUGUGUGUGCGUGUGUGUGUGUGUGUGUGCGUGUGUGUGUUUGUGUGGCACUUUAAAAUAAAUUUUUGUUGCACUGGUAUCGUUGCACAAGUCUUGAUUCUUUUUAAUUUACACAGGGACAUGUUUAUUGCCCCUGUCAGUGGCGGAACAAGCUCACAUCGCCCCCUGGGGCAAACAUUUGGUUGGUUACCCAUCAUGCAAUAGGCAAAGAUUUUCUAAAAACUUGCAAUUACUAUUAGAUACACGCCAUAACAUAACAGUACAUAACUAUAGUCGUUAAAUUAUUAACCACUAUUUCCCACCAUGAUUAGAGUUCGUAUAGGAAACGAGGACUAUAAAAGAAUCACUUUUCAAAAGGAACUAACUCAGAAGGAAUCACUGACUCGAUUAAUUUCACUGAGUGACUUUAAAAAGAAUCGUUCCACUGAUCUAAAAUGAAGAUAACACUGCAUAUUGUAACAACACACCCAGAGACAGAGAGCAGAUCCAACACGUGUUUAAUAAACUCAAGCAGGCAGGAGUCAGAACUAGACUUAGGCGAAUAAGGGAAUUAAGGCAGGCACGAAACAAAGAAGACAGACUGAAAUACCAAACUAAACUUUCUUUAGAAAAGACUUGACGAUCAGGCAUCAACAGUUCUAAUAUUAGCUGUGAGUGAGGGCUUCAAGUGGGCGCCGUGUGAUUGAGUGCAGGUGGAGCAAUCAAAAGUCUGGUGAUUGGGAGCACGGAGGCGCGGCUGAGGUUGACCUCCCAGUCGACCAGAUACUGUAGAUGGCCGCCGCGUCGUCUGGAGUUCAUUAUCUCUUGGAUUUGGUAGACCGUGUUGUCUGUGUCGAUCUCGGGCGGCGACGAGCUCUCGGGCUCUGUGGGAGGAGAGAGAACAGGGUUAGUGUAUGGUUUUAGGAGAGACACAUGGAAAGUCUUUGAGAUCCGGUAGUGCGCAGGGAGGAUGAGUUCGUAGGAGACAUCGUUAAUGCGCCUUCAGACGUCUAAGGGACCAAUAUAGCGAGGGCUGAGCUUCCUACAGGGGAGUUUGAGGCAGAUGUCCCAUGUAGAAAGCCAAACUCGAUCGCCCGGAUAGUAGCACGGUGUCUCUCUGCGCAGCGUGUCGUCUGCCGGCGAAUAGCGUGGCCUCAGGUGGACAUGCGCCGAUCCCCAGACCCUCUCACUCUCUCAGAACCAGUGGUCGACUGAUGGUAUUUCAGAAGGUUUGCCAGACCAGGGGAAAAGAGGUGGUUGAUAGCCGAGUAUGAAACAAAGAUGGCGGCGUGGCAGUAGCAUGCAGCGGCCACUCCGGAACCAAAAUGGUGCUUUCUUUUUGUUUUAGCGCGAAAUUAAAAGUGCAUGGACACCAAAGACAGUGGUGUUCAUGUAUACGACCGCAAGACGAUAUUACAGUACAGAAAUCAUGCAGUUACUAACUUGCAUGAUGAAGUGCUCUGCAAACUUCGCGAACUCGGCUUGCUGCGAAGUCCAGGCCUUCAGUCCUCGGCGUCGCCUGAUGCCGGU
This is a long non-coding RNA of Hemibagrus wyckioides, 4923 nucleotides long. RefSeq lists it as uncharacterized. Lineage: Eukaryota; Metazoa; Chordata; Actinopteri; Siluriformes; Bagridae. The transcript has 3 exons. The record is from RefSeq and is a predicted model, not a curated record.